CCGCCAUUUCCUCUCCUGUUUCCCGCCUCUUCAGCGAAGCCAAAGGGCAUCAUGCCCUUCUCCAUCGUCGUGGAGAUCGCGAAGGUGAUCGAGCCCUAGAUGCAAGGAUUGGUGCGAUUUCGAUGUGCUGAUCGGCGUCGGUGGAGGUUAGGGUUUGUUUAUUCGAUCUUAUUAUUGUGUUUUCUUGAUAUUGAUUUUCUUUGCUGUUUCGAUUGAUUACUUGUUUAGCUUGAUCUCUUGUUCUGGUAUUUUUUAUUUUCGAUGUGAUUGUUGCGUUGUUGAUUUGUUUUAAUUCGUUGAAUGGGCUUCAUAUUGUUGUGAAACUUGUGGGGUUUGUUUGGUGAAUGAUCUAUUGAGGAUGGUUCUCUGA
Dioscorea cayenensis subsp. rotundata (Guinea yam) is the source of this 370-nucleotide long non-coding RNA. RefSeq lists it as uncharacterized. The transcript has 2 exons. Lineage: Eukaryota; Viridiplantae; Streptophyta; Magnoliopsida; Dioscoreales; Dioscoreaceae. The record is from RefSeq and is a predicted model, not a curated record.